RNAcentral lists this non-coding RNA (84 nucleotides) under Paenibacillus sp. Its description in RNAcentral is "ZTP sequence". It matches the Rfam family "ZMP/ZTP riboswitch aptamer (pfl RNA motif)". Rfam says of the family: Previously known as pfl RNA. ZMP is also known as AICAR. Lineage: Bacteria; Bacillati; Bacillota; Bacilli; Caryophanales; Paenibacillaceae. RNAcentral also lists the same sequence under 1 other name. The record is from RNAcentral.
AAAGCCGUAUGCGACUGGCGAAAAGAGUGGAUAACCACAAGGGAGCAUGCGGUCGGAAUCUUGCCGUUCGCCUGGGUAAAAGUA